This 253-nucleotide ribosomal RNA is filed under the name uncultured bacterium. Its description in RNAcentral is "partial 16S ribosomal RNA". It matches the Rfam family "Bacterial small subunit ribosomal RNA", at positions 524 to 776 of the family's 1533-position model. The record is from RNAcentral.
UACGAAGGGGGCUAGCGUUGCUCGGAUUGACUGGGCGUAAAGGGCGCGUAGGCGGUUCGUACAGUCAGACGUGAAAUUCCUGGGCUCAACCUGGGGGCUGCGUUUGAUACGUGCGGACUUGAGUGCGGAAGAGGGUCGUGGAAUUCCCAGUGUAGAGGUGAAAUUCGUAGAUAUUGGGAAGAACACCGGUGGCGAAGGCGGCUCACUGGCCCGAUACUGACGCUGAGGCACGAAAGCGUGGGGAGCAAACAGG